CUAUGUUAUUUAGUGACCUAAAUGUCCCUAGUGUUUCUGUUCCAUUAAUGGAAUGAAAUUAUUACUGGUGAGAUCUUCCAGUUUUCAGGCCAUGGUCCUCAAGAACUCCACCCAUUUGGACAGGACAUUAAGAGGUCUUUGUUUGUCAAGAAGAUUGAAGGAAGCAAUUGGGUUACUCUAGCGUGCAGGAUUACAGUUCAUCGGGAAUUAUCAAGAAACCAUUGGCAUCAAGACUGGGUGGGGUGCUGCCUGUGGAUUACGAGCCUCCAUUCUUUAGAAGCUGUUCAGAACAAGAAGCUCAUAAUCCAUGGAUAAAAAAUCCUCUGGAAAUGGAGGUUGGGAAUGUCAACAGCAAGCAUUUAGUAUUAGCUCUCAAGGAGGCCUGAAUGUGGAAGGGGAGGCAGACAACUGGGAUUUUGGUGUAGGCAUGUAGACCAGUGAAGACUACAACUUUAAUGCUAAGACAUGAUUUUUGAAUAUAUGUUAGUUUGUGAUUAAUGCGAAGACAUAAUUUUUGGAUAUAUGUUAGUUUGUGGUUUAAUGUUAAAACAUGAUUUUUG
This is a non-coding RNA of Camellia sinensis, 560 nucleotides long. The record is from RefSeq and is a predicted model, not a curated record. Lineage: Eukaryota; Viridiplantae; Streptophyta; Magnoliopsida; Ericales; Theaceae.